RNAcentral lists this ribosomal RNA (538 nucleotides) under uncultured bacterium. RNAcentral's name for it is "bacterial SSU rRNA". It matches the Rfam family "Bacterial small subunit ribosomal RNA", at positions 777 to 1308 of the family's 1533-position model. The record is from RNAcentral.
AAUAGAUACCCGGGUAGUCCUGGCCGUAAACGAUGUCGACUAGAUCGUGGUCCCUCUGAAGGGUUCACGGUCGAAGCAAAAGUGCUAAGUCGACCGCCUGGGAAGUACGGUCGCAAGGCUAAAACUCAAAGAAAUUGACGGGGGCUCACACAAGCGGUGGAGCAUGUGGUUCAAUUCGAAGCAACGCGCAGAACCUUACCUGGGCUUGACAUGCCAGGAUUAUCCCCAUGAAAGUGGGGUAGGCCCUUCGGGGUACAACUGGUACAGGUGCUGCAUGGCUGUCGUCAGCUCGUGUCGUGAGAUGUCGGGUUAAGUCCCUUAACGAGCGAAACCUUUGCCCUUAGUUACCAGCGGGUUAUGCCGGGGACUCUAAGGGGACUGCCGGUGUCAAACCGGAGGAAGGUGGAGAUGACGUCAAGUCCUCAUGGCCUUUAUGCCCAGGGCCACACACGUGCUACAAUGGCGUCCACAAAGCGAACCAAGAGCGCAAGCUGGUGGAAAUCGCAGAAAUGACGCCCCAGUUCAGAUUGGAGGCUGC